GUCCCUGUAGCUUAAACCAAAGCAUGGCACUGAAGACGCCAAGAUGGGCACUACCCCAAGGAC
RNAcentral lists this transfer RNA (63 nucleotides) under Pionites leucogaster. RNAcentral's name for it is "tRNA-Phe". The record is from RNAcentral. Lineage: Eukaryota; Metazoa; Chordata; Aves; Psittaciformes; Psittacidae.